This is a small nucleolar RNA of Sorex fumeus (smoky shrew), 104 nucleotides long. RefSeq annotates it as small nucleolar RNA U13. NCBI's taxonomy places the organism in Eukaryota, Metazoa, Chordata, Mammalia, Eulipotyphla, Soricidae. The transcript has a single exon. The record is from RefSeq and is a predicted model, not a curated record.
GACCUUUUCUUGUUCAUAAGCAUGAUGAUUUAAUGGUCACAUGCUUGUGUGACAUGUGCCUCCCUUAAAUCUUCUUAUGUAUCUGGCAUAUUACCUAUCUGAUG